GCGUUUUCUCUUCGGCACCUCCUAACCCCAACUCCAUCGCCGCCAUGUUGCCCAAAGGAAGGAGAGAGAGAGAGAGACAGAGACAGAGACAGAGGAGGGGAGAUAGGCAGAUCGAUUGAGAGAAAGAUUGAGAUAGCUAGCCUUGCCUCUUCGGAGGAGGAUUUGCUAUAAUGUGGGGGGAAGGGCCCGGCAUAAGCUACGACCACU
RNAcentral lists this long non-coding RNA (207 nucleotides) under Spirodela polyrhiza (greater duckweed). RNAcentral describes it as "long non-coding RNA (SPOL_LNC002167)". The record is from RNAcentral. Lineage: Eukaryota; Viridiplantae; Streptophyta; Magnoliopsida; Alismatales; Araceae.